RNAcentral lists this ribosomal RNA (351 nucleotides) under uncultured bacterium. Its description in RNAcentral is "partial 16S ribosomal RNA". It matches the Rfam family "Bacterial small subunit ribosomal RNA", at positions 338 to 703 of the family's 1533-position model. The record is from RNAcentral.
CCUACGGGCGGCAGCAGUGGGGAAUAUUGGGCAAUGGGCGCAAGCCUGACCCAGCAACGCCGCGUGAAGGAAGAAGGCUUUCGGGUUGUAAACUUCUUUUCUCAGGGACGAAGCAAGUGACGGGACCGGAGGAAUAAGCCACGGCUAACGACGUGCCAGCAGCCGCGGUAAUACUUAGGUGGCAAGCGUUAGCCGGAUUUACUGGGUGUAAAGGGCGUGUAGGCGGGGACGCAAGUCAGAGGUGAAAACCACGGGCUCCACCUGUGGCCUGCAUUUGAAACUGUGUUUCUUGAGUACUGGAUAGGCAGCCGGAAUUCCUCGUGUAGCGGUGACCUGCGUAGAUAUUAGGAG